GACAGAGGUCCCGAGCGUUAGGCGGAAUCACUGGGCUUAAAGCGUGUGUAGGCGGAUUGGUAAGUCCCUUGUGAAAUCCCACGGCUUAACCGUGGAACUGCUUGGUAUACUGCUUAUCUUGGGCCACUUAGGGGCUACCGGAACAAACGGUGGAGCGGUGAAAUGCGUAGAUAUCGUUUGGAACGCCAAUGGUGAAAACAGGUAGCUGGGAGUGUGCCGACGCUGAGACACGAAAGCCAGGGGAGCGAACGGG
RNAcentral lists this ribosomal RNA (253 nucleotides) under uncultured bacterium. Its description in RNAcentral is "partial 16S ribosomal RNA". It matches the Rfam family "Bacterial small subunit ribosomal RNA", at positions 524 to 776 of the family's 1533-position model. The record is from RNAcentral.